Molecule: ribosomal RNA, 292 nt
Filed under: uncultured bacterium
Lineage: Bacteria
Description: partial 16S ribosomal RNA
Rfam family: Bacterial small subunit ribosomal RNA
Source: RNAcentral
GUGCCAGCCGCCGCGGUAAUACGGAGGGUGCAAGCGUUGUUCGGAAUUAUUGGGCGUAAAGCGCGUGCAGGCGGUUCGUUAAGUCUGAUGUGAAAGCCCUGGGCUCAACCCAGGAAGUGCAUUGGAAACUGGCGAACUUGAGUAUGGGAGAGGGAAGUGGAAUUCCGAGUGUAGGGGUGAAAUCCGUAGAUAUUCGGAGGAACACCAGUGGCGAAGGCGGCUUCCUGGACCAAUACUGACGCUGAGACGCGAAAGCGUGGGGAGCAAACAGGAUUAGAAACCCUGGUAGUCC